RNAcentral lists this non-coding RNA (46 nucleotides) under Trichobilharzia regenti. Lineage: Eukaryota; Metazoa; Platyhelminthes; Trematoda; Strigeidida; Schistosomatidae. The record is from RNAcentral.
GUACUGAUGAAGAGUCCCAAACUAGAACGAAGCAGCUGUCCAGUAC